Molecule: long non-coding RNA, 204 nt
Filed under: Homo sapiens (human)
Lineage: Eukaryota; Metazoa; Chordata; Mammalia; Primates; Hominidae
Description: HSALNT0261870
Source: RNAcentral
ACCUAGAGAUCAAUUCAUUUUUAUCAAUAUUUGGGAAAAUCAGUGACAUAAAUCAGCUCCAGCAUCAAACUUCAGCUGCUACAGAGAAGGCCAGGUGUAUGGAGCAAACAAAGCCUGCAGCCUGGGAGAUUAGGAACCACUCCUAACAAUGGACUUAAUAACAUCACAUUCAUCACCUGAUUGGAUUCUUCCAACAUGAAGCUC